This 1515-nucleotide ribosomal RNA is filed under the name uncultured bacterium. Its description in RNAcentral is "partial 16S ribosomal RNA". It matches the Rfam family "Bacterial small subunit ribosomal RNA". The record is from RNAcentral.
AGAGUUUGAUCCUGGCUCAGAAUCAACGCUGGCGGCGUGCCUAACACAUGCAAGUCGAACGCGAAAGCCCCGCAAGGGGUCAGUAGAGUGGCAAACGGGUGAGUAACACGUGGGUGACCUGCCUCAGAGUGGGGGAUAACGACCCGAAAGGGUCGCUAAUACCGCAUAACAUCCUGCUUUUGGAUAAGCGGAGAUCAAAGCCGGGGAUCGCAAGACCUGGCGCUUAGAGAGGGGCCCGCGGCCGAUUAGCUAGUUGGUGAGGUAACGGCUCACCAAGGCAACGAUCGGUAUCCGGCCUGAGAGGGCGGACGGACACACUGGGACUGAGACACGGCCCAGACUCCUACGGGAGGCAGCAGUGGGGAAUUGUUCGCAAUGGGCGCAAGCCUGACGACGCAACGCCGCGUGGAGGACGAAGAUCUUCGGGUCGUAAACUCCUUUCGAUCGGGAAGAACGCCUUCGGGGUGAAUACCCUCGAAGGGUGACGGUACCGAGAGAAGAAGCCCCGGCUAACUCCGUGCCAGCAGCCGCGGUAAUACGGGGGGGGCAAGCGUUGUUCGGAAUUACUGGGCGUAAAGGGCGUGUAGGCGGCCAACUAAGUCCGACGUGAAAUCCCCAGGCUUAACCUGGGAACUGCGUCGGAUACUGGAUGGCUUGAAUUCGGGAGAGGGAUGCAGAAUUCCAGGUGUAGCGGUGAAAUGCGUAGAUAUCUGGAGGAAUACCGGUGGCGAAGGCGGCAUCCUGGACCGACAUUGACGCUGAAGCGCGAAAGCUAGGGGAGCAAACGGGAUUAGAUACCCCGGUAGUCCUAGCCCUAAACGAUGAAUGCUUGGUGUGGCGGGUAUCGAUCCCUGCCGUGCCGAAGCUAACGCAUUAAGCAUUCCGCCUGGGGAGUACGGUCGCAAGGCUGAAACUCAAAUGAAUUGACGGGGGCCCGCACAAGCGGUGGAGCAUGUGGUUUAAUUCGAUGCAACGCGAAGAACCUUACCUGGUCUUGACAUCCACGGAAGUUUUCAGAGAUGAGAAUGUGCCUUCGGGAACCGUGAGACAGGUGCUGCAUGGCUGUCGUCAGCUCGUGUUGUGAAAUGUUGGGUUAAGUCCCGCAACGAGCGCAACCCUUAUCCUUUGUUGCCAGCGGUCCGGCCGGGAACUCAAAGGAGACUGCCAGUGAUAAACUGGAGGAAGGUGGGGAUGACGUCAAGUCAUCAUGGCCCUUACGACCAGGGCUACACACGUGCUACAAUGGCGCAUACAAAGAGAAGCGACCUCGCGAGAGCAAGCGGACCUCAUAAAGUGCGUCGUAGUCCGGAUUGGAGUCUGCAACUCGACUCCAUGAAGUCGGAAUCGCUAGUAAUCGUGGAUCAGAAUGCCACGGUGAAUACGUUCCCGGGCCUUGUACACACCGCCCGUCACACCAUGGGAGUGGGUUGCAAAAGAAGUAGGUAGCUUAACCUUCGGGAGGGCGCUUACCACUUUGUGAUUCAUGACUGGGGUGAAGUCGUAACAAGGUAGCCG